Long non-coding RNA from Leopardus geoffroyi (Geoffroy's cat), 784 nucleotides. RefSeq lists it as uncharacterized. The record is from RefSeq and is a predicted model, not a curated record. The transcript has 3 exons. Lineage: Eukaryota; Metazoa; Chordata; Mammalia; Carnivora; Felidae.
AUGUGGAAUAUCCCUGGGAGCGCCAGGACCACCUGGGAGGACCUGGGGAGAAGCAGAAUUCAGAGAGAGCUGUGGCAUGGGGUUGGGCACCCCAACACCUAGGACACCUCUGUGACAGAGUUGAUACCCAUUGAUGAUGCCGCCAAUCACACUUUGCGUCCCACCGAUGACAAGAAUGAGAACCAGAAUAACUCCAAGGACGUUCCAAGGACAAUGGUUCAAGGGACCACUGCUCUCUCUAAUCCCUUGAAAACUGACUAUCUUGGAUUUUACCUCUGAACCCGCCCACUAGCCACACGGGAAUGAGCCCGUUUUCAAGGUCCUCCAUGGAGCGACCGGCCAUCUCACCAUCCCAGGAGCCAAGAGGCAGCCCCAGCUGUGCGGGGUGAGGUAGGAGAUGCUCACGGAAGUAAGAAUGGGGCCUGCGUUCUCUCAGACGACUGUGAAGACGAGGGAGAACUGAGGAUCGCUCCAUCUGUUACACUGAGAACGGACUGCAGGGAGCCAGGGUGGAAGCAGGAGGCUGUCUGGAGGCUUCUGUAGUAACCCGGUGGAGAGAGCAUGCCACCGGGAGUCGGAACUAAAAAAGCAGUGCCUUUCAAAUCAAAACCACGAUGAGUUAUCGCCUCAUACCUGUUAGAACGGCGACUGUUAACAACCAAAACCACACCCAGAAAACAACAAGUGUUGGCAAGGACGCAGAGAAAUUGGCGCCCCGGUGUCCCGCUGGUAGGAAUGCGACAGCGUGGCAGUUUCUCAAAAUAUUAAAAAUAGAAUUACCGGA